CGCGGGAUUGGUGUGUCCUUUUAAUAGAAGAAAAUGGAAACUGAACAGCCAGAGGAAACCUUCCCCAACACUGAGACUAAUGGUGAAUUUGGUAAACGCCCUGCAGAAGAUAUGGAAGAGGAACAAGCAUUUAAAAUAUCUAGAAACACUGAUGAGAUGGUUGAAUUGCGCAUUCUGCUUCAGAGCAAGAAUGCUGGAGCAGUGAUUGGAAAAGGAGGCAAGAAUAUUAAGGCUCUCCGUACAGACCACAAUGCCAAUGUUUCAGUCCCAGACAGCAGUGGCCCCGAGCAGAUAUUGAGUAUCAGUGCUGAUAUUGAAACAAUUGGAGAAAUUCUGAAGAAAAUCAUCCCUACCUUGGAAGAGGGCCUGCAUUGCCAUCACCCACUGCAACCAGCCAGCUCCCGCUCGAAUCUGAUGCUGUGGGAUGCUUAAAUUACCAACACUAUAAAGGAAGUGACUUUGACUGCGAGUUGAUUCAUCAGAGUCUGGCAGGAGGAAUUAUUGGGGUCAAAGGUGCUAAAAUUAAAGAACUUCGAGAGAACACUCAGACAACAAUCAAGCUUUUCCAGGAAUGCUGUCCUCAUUCCACUGACAGAGUUGUUCUUAUUGGAGGAAAGCCUGAUAGGGUUGUAGAGUGCAUAAAGAUCAUCCUUGAUCUUAGAUCCGAGUCUCCCAUCAAAGGACGUGCACAACCUUAUGAUCCCAAUUUUUAUGAUGAAACCUAUGACUAUGGUGGUUUUACAAUGAUAUUCGAUGACCGCCAUGGACGUCCAGUGGGAUUUCCCAUGCGGGGAAGAGGUGGUUUUGACAGAAUGCCUCCUGGUCGGGGUGGGCGUCCUAUGCCUCUUUCUAGAAGAGAUUAUGAUGAUAUGAGCCCUCGUCGAGGACCACCACCACCUCCUCCUGGACGAGGUGGCCGGGGUGGUAGCACGGCAUCUUCCUCUUCCUCCACCACCACCACCUAGAGGAGGAGAUCUAAUGGCCUAUGACAGAAGAGGAAGACCGGGAGACCGUUACGAUGGCAUGGUUGGUUUCAGUGCUGACGAAACUUGGGACUCUGCAAUAGAUACUUGGAGCCCGUCAGAAUGGCAGAUGGCUUAUGAACCACAGGGUGGCUCUGGAUAUGAUUAUUCCUAUGCAGGGGGUCGUGGCUCAUAUGGUGAUCUUGGUGGACCUAUUAUUACUACUCAAGUAACUAUUCCCAAAGAUUUGGCUGGAUCUAUUAUUGGCAAAGGUGGUCAGCGGAUUAAACAAAUCCGUCAUGAGUCGGGAGCUUUGAUCAAAAUUGAUGAGCCUUUAGAAGGAUCCGAAGAUCGGAUCAUUACAAUGACAGGAACACAGGACCAGAUACAGAAUGCAGAGUAUUUGCCGCAGAACAGUGUGAAGCAGUAUUCUGGAAAGUUUUUCUAAGACUAGUAAAGAACUGAAGGAGUCCUGCAUCUUUUUUUUUUUUUUUUUUU
This is an RNA transcript of Carlito syrichta (Philippine tarsier), 1460 nucleotides long. It is a transcript of the gene named heterogeneous nuclear ribonucleoprotein K pseudogene, with no coding region annotated. The transcript has a single exon. NCBI's taxonomy places the organism in Eukaryota, Metazoa, Chordata, Mammalia, Primates, Tarsiidae. The record is from RefSeq and is a predicted model, not a curated record.